Molecule: ribosomal RNA, 1252 nt
Filed under: Mycobacteroides chelonae
Lineage: Bacteria; Bacillati; Actinomycetota; Actinomycetes; Mycobacteriales; Mycobacteriaceae
Description: bacterial SSU rRNA
Rfam family: Bacterial small subunit ribosomal RNA
Source: RNAcentral
AGGACCACACACUUCAUGGUGAGUGGUGCAAAGCUUUUGCGGUGUGGGAUGAGCCCGCGGCCUAUCAGCUUGUUGGUGGGGUAAUGGCCCACCAAGGCGACGACGGGUAGCCGGCCUGAGAGGGUGACCGGCCACACUGGGACUGAGAUACGGCCCAGACUCCUACGGGAGGCAGCAGUGGGGAAUAUUGCACAAUGGGCGCAAGCCUGAUGCAGCGACGCCGCGUGAGGGAUGACGGCCUUCGGGUUGUAAACCUCUUUCAGUAGGGACGAAGCGAAAGUGACGGUACCUACAGAAGAAGGACCGGCCAACUACGUGCCAGCAGCCGCGGUAAUACGUAGGGUCCGAGCGUUGUCCGGAAUUACUGGGCGUAAAGAGCUCGUAGGUGGUUUGUCGCGUUGUUCGUGAAAACUCACAGCUUAACUGUGGGCGUGCGGGCGAUACGGGCAGACUAGAGUACUGCAGGGGAGACUGGAAUUCCUGGUGUAGCGGUGGAAUGCGCAGAUAUCAGGAGGAACACCGGUGGCGAAGGCGGGUCUCUGGGCAGUAACUGACGCUGAGGAGCGAAAGCGUGGGUAGCGAACAGGAUUAGAUACCCUGGUAGUCCACGCCGUAAACGGUGGGUACUAGGUGUGGGUUUCCUUCCUUGGGAUCCGUGCCGUAGCUAACGCAUUAAGUACCCCGCCUGGGGAGUACGGUCGCAAGACUAAAACUCAAAGGAAUUGACGGGGGCCCGCACAAGCGGCGGAGCAUGUGGAUUAAUUCGAUGCAACGCGAAGAACCUUACCUGGGUUUGACAUGCACAGGACGUACCUAGAGAUAGGUAUUCCCUUGUGGCCUGUGUGCAGGUGGUGCAUGGCUGUCGUCAGCUCGUGUCGUGAGAUGUUGGGUUAAGUCCCGCAACGAGCGCAACCCUUGUCCUAUGUUGCCAGCGGGUAAUGCCGGGGACUCGUAGGAGACUGCCGGGGUCAACUCGGAGGAAGGUGGGGAUGACGUCAAGUCAUCAUGCCCCUUAUGUCCAGGGCUUCACACAUGCUACAAUGGCCAGUACAGAGGGCUGCGAAGCCGCAAGGUGGAGCGAAUCCCUUAAAGCUGGUCUCAGUUCGGAUUGGGGUCUGCAACUCGACCCCAUGAAGUCGGAGUCGCUAGUAAUCGCAGAUCAGCAACGCUGCGGUGAAUACGUUCCCGGGCCUCGUACACACCGCCCGUCACGUCAUGAAAGUCGGUAACACCCGAAGCCAGUGGCCUAACC